Molecule: non-coding RNA, 134 nt
Organism: Pelobates cultripes (western spadefoot toad)
Lineage: Eukaryota; Metazoa; Chordata; Amphibia; Anura; Pelobatidae
Source: the annotation of a GenBank genome assembly
UUGGCCCUGAAUCAAGGCUGGUGGCUUGCUGUAGCUGCGGGUUUCAAGCAGGAGCCGAAAGAAUCUCUUCCCAUGGUCUGUUGGCUGUGCCAGUAUUCUUCAGGGCCCAGCCAAUUCAGUUGGAAGGAACAGUA